This 1172-nucleotide ribosomal RNA is filed under the name Roseibacillus persicicus. RNAcentral describes it as "partial 23S ribosomal RNA". It matches the Rfam family "Bacterial large subunit ribosomal RNA", at positions 1 to 1218 of the family's 2925-position model. Lineage: Bacteria; Pseudomonadati; Verrucomicrobiota; Verrucomicrobiia; Verrucomicrobiales; Verrucomicrobiaceae. The record is from RNAcentral.
AAUCAAGUUACAAAGGGCACAGAGUGGAUGCCUUGGUGCUAGAAGGCGAUGAAGGACGUGAUAAGCUGCGAUAAGCGUCGGUAAGGGGCACACACCCGCUGACCCGACGAUUUCCGAAUGGGGUAACCUGAUGGGAUUGAAUCCCAUCGCCCCUUCCUGAAUACAUAGGGAAGGGAUCGCGAACCCGGUGAAGUGAAACAUCUCAGUAACCGGAGGAAAAGAAAUCAACCGAGAUUCCGUAAGUAGCGGCGAGCGAACGCGGACCAGCCCAACCAUUAACGGACCGGCGACGAUAGGAGAAGCAUUUGGAAAGAUGCUCCAUAGAGGGUGACAGACCCGUAUCCGAAAUCCGAACCGGCCAGGUGCAAGUAGCGCAACACACGUGAAACGUUGCGUGAAGACGGGGGGACCACCCUCCAAGGCUAAAUACUAACUAGCGACCGAUAGUGAACCAGUACCGUGAGGGAAAGGUGAAAAGAACCCCUGUGAGGGGAGUGAAAUAGAACCUGAAACCCUGUGCCCACAAGGUGUAAGAGCAGCUUUAUGCUGUGAUUGCGUGCCUUUUGCUUAAUGAGUCUGCGAGUUAGUGCGUGUGGCAAGCCUAAGUUCUUCUGGAACGGAGGCGUAGCGAAAGCAAGUCUGAAUAGGGCGACAAGUUGCACGCGCUAGACCCGAAGCGGAGGUGACCUACCCAUGGCCAGGUUGAAGCGUCGGUAAAACGACGUGGAGGACCGAACCGAUGUGUGUUGAAAAACGCUCGGAUGAGCUGUGGGUAGGAGUGAAAGGCUAUUCAAACCCCGUGAUAGCUGGUUCUCUCCGAAAUGUAUUUAGGUACAGCGUUGUAUGCUGACUAAGGGGGGUAGAGCACUGAAAGGGCUAGGGCCCAUACCCGGGUACCAACCCCUAUCAAACUCCGAAUACCCUUAGGUGAAGUACAGCAGUGAGUCAGUGGGGGAUAAGCUUCAUUGGCGAAAGGGAAACAGCCCAGACCAGCAGCUAAGGUGCCUAAAUUCUACUCAGUGGAAAGGAGGUGAGGUUUCACAGACAGUGAGGAUGUUGGCUUAGAAGCAGCCACCAUUUAAAAAGUGCGUAAUAGCUUACUCAUCGAGAGACCUUGCGCCGAAAAUGAUUGGCGAUAAGUAGAAUACCGAAGCUCUGGAUGCAUCAUUUAU